Molecule: ribosomal RNA, 468 nt
Filed under: uncultured bacterium
Lineage: Bacteria
Description: partial 16S ribosomal RNA
Rfam family: Bacterial small subunit ribosomal RNA
Source: RNAcentral
GACGAACGCUGGCGGCGUGCUUAACACAUGCAAGUCGAACGGAAAGGCCCUGCUUUUGUGGGGUGCUCGAGUGGCGAACGGGUGAGUAACACGUGAGUAACCUGCCCUUGACUUUGGGAUAACUUCAGGAAACUGGGGCUAAUACCGGAUAGGAGCUCCUGCUGCAUGGUGGGGGUUGGAAAGUUUCGGCGGUUGGGGAUGGACUCGCGGCUUAUCAGCUUGUUGGUGGGGUAGUGGCUUACCAAGGCUUUGACGGGUAGCCGGCCUGAGAGGGUGACCGGCCACAUGGGGACUGAGAUACGGCCCAGACUCCUACGGGAGGCAGCAGUGGGGAAUAUUGCACAGUGGGCGGAAGCCUGAUGCAGCAACGCCGCGUGCGGGAUGACGGCCUUCGGGUUGUGAACCGCUUUCGCCUGUGACGAAGCGUGAGUGACGGUAAUGGGUAAAGAAGCACCGGCUAACUACGUG